UUAAUCAAGAACGAAAGUUAGAGGUUCGAAGGCGAUCAGAUACCGCCCUAGUUCUAACCGUAAACUAUGCCUACUAGGUGUAUGAAUUAUUAGUUAUAAUAAUUUAUGCACCUUCUCGGAAACGAAAGUCUUUCGGUUCCGGGGGAAGUAUGGNUGCNAAGCUGAAACUUAAAGGAAUUGACGGAAGGGCACCACCAGGAGUGGAGCCUGCGGCUUAAUUUGACUCAACACGGGAAAACUCACCCGGGCCGGACACUAUAAGGAUUGACAGAUUGAUAGCUCUUUCAUGAUUUAGUGGUUGGUGGUGCAUGGCCGUUCUUAGUUCGUGGAUAUGAUUUGUCUGGUUGAUUCCGAUAACGAGCGAGACUUUUAUGUUAUAUUAAAUAAUAUUAUUGUUAAAUUUUAUUUUUAUNUAANAUUUNNUUU
This 426-nucleotide ribosomal RNA is filed under the name Strongyloides fuelleborni. Its description in RNAcentral is "SSU rRNA". It matches the Rfam family "Eukaryotic small subunit ribosomal RNA", at positions 973 to 1413 of the family's 1831-position model. Lineage: Eukaryota; Metazoa; Nematoda; Chromadorea; Rhabditida; Strongyloididae. The record is from RNAcentral.